Molecule: ribosomal RNA, 497 nt
Filed under: uncultured Glomus
Lineage: Eukaryota; Fungi; Glomeromycota; Glomeromycetes; Glomerales; Glomeraceae
Description: SSU rRNA
Rfam family: Eukaryotic small subunit ribosomal RNA
Source: RNAcentral
AGCAGCCGCGGUAAUUCCAGCUCCAAUAGCGUAUAUUAAAGUUGUUGCAGUUAAAAAGCUCGUAGUUGAAUUUCGGGAUCAAAUUGUCGGUCGUGCCUCGGUACGUACUGGCGUUAUUGGUUCCUCCCUUCUGAAGAACCGCGAUGUCAUUAAUUUGGUGUCGCGGGGAAUCAGGACUGUUACUUUGAAAAAAUUAGAGUGUUUAAAGCAGGCUCGCGCUUGAAUACAUUAGCAUGGAAUAAUGAAAUAGGACGUUUGAUUCUAUUUGUUGGUUUCUAGGAUCGACGUAAUGAUUAACAGGGAUAGUUGGGGGCAUUAGUAUUCAAUUGUCAGAGGUGAAAUUCUUGGAUUUAUUGAAGACUAACUACUGCGAAAGCAUUUGCCAAGGAUGUUUUCAUUAAUCAAGAACGAAAGUUAGGGGAUCGAAGACGAUCAGAUACCGUCGUAGUCUUAACCAUAAACUAUGCCGACUAAGGGAUCGGAUGAUGUUAAUUUUU